Molecule: ribosomal RNA, 700 nt
Filed under: uncultured soil bacterium
Lineage: Bacteria
Description: bacterial SSU rRNA
Rfam family: Bacterial small subunit ribosomal RNA
Source: RNAcentral
UUAACACAUGCAAGUCAAGGGGGCCCAGCAAUGGGCAACCGGCGAACGGGUGCGUAACACGUGAGCAACCUACCGAACUGUGGGGGAUAGCCGGCCUAACGGCCGAGUAAUACCGCAUACGCUCUCAGAGAGGCAUUUCUUUGAGAGGAAACCUACGGGACAGAUCGAGGGGCUCGCGGCCUAUCAGCUAGUUGGCGAGGUAACGGCUCACCAAGGCAACGACGGGUAGCUGGUCUGAGAGGAUGGCCAGCCACAUUGGGACUGAGAUACGGCCCAGACUCCUACGGGAGGCAGCAGUGGGGAAUCUUGCGCAAUGGCCUAACGGCUGACGCAGCGACGCCGCGUGUGGGAUGAAGCUCUUCGGAGUGUAAACCACUGUUGCCCGGGACGAAUAGCUCGAUUAAUCGAGCCUGACGGUACCGGGUGAGGAAGCACCGGCUAACUCCGUGCCAGCAGCCGCGGUAAUACGGGGGGUGCGAGCGUUGUCCGGAAUCACUGGGCGUAAAGGGCGCGUAGGUGGUUUGAUAAGGGUGUGGUGAAAGUCCGGGGCUCAACCCCGGAUCUGCCGUGCCGACUGUCAAACUCGAGGACUGUAGAGGCAGACGGAAUUCCGGGUGUAGCGGUGGAAUGCGUAGAGAUCCGGAGGAAGACCGGUGGCGAAGGCGGUCUGCUGGGCAGUUUCUGACACUGAGGCGCGACA